GUGGGGAAUUUUGGACAAUGGACGAAAGUCUGAUCCAGCGACGCCGCGUGAAGGACGAAGGUUUUCGGAUUGUAAACUUCUUUUGCAGGGGAAAAAUGCGCGCAAGCGUUUGAUUGUACUCUGUGAAUAAGCCACGGCUAACUACGUGCCAGCAGCCGCGGUAAUACGUAGGUGGCGAGCGUUACUCGGAAUUACUAGGCGUAAAGCGCGUGUAGGCGGGAGCUUAAGUCUGCUGUGAAAUCUCGUGGCUUAACCACGAGCGGCCGGUAGAUACUGGGCUUCUUGAAUUCGGUAGAGGUAACUGGAAUUCCAAGUGUAGCGGUGAAAUGCGUAGAUAUUUGGAAGAACGCCAAAGGCGAAAGCAGGUUACUGGGCCGCAAUUGACGCUGAGACGCGAAAGCUAGGGGAGCAAACAGGAUUAGAAACCCGGGUAGUCC
This 437-nucleotide ribosomal RNA is filed under the name uncultured bacterium. RNAcentral's name for it is "partial 16S ribosomal RNA". It matches the Rfam family "Bacterial small subunit ribosomal RNA", at positions 354 to 796 of the family's 1533-position model. The record is from RNAcentral.